Salmo salar (Atlantic salmon) is the source of this 2724-nucleotide non-coding RNA. The record is from RefSeq and is a predicted model, not a curated record. Lineage: Eukaryota; Metazoa; Chordata; Actinopteri; Salmoniformes; Salmonidae.
CCUCGAAGAAGAAGAAGGAAUAGCUCGUAUUUCUCUCGUAAGACAUUCAAUAUUUGAUUGGUCAAUACAUUCGACUGGGAGAUGGACUGAAAAAAAUGACAUUUCCAAAAGAAAAUGUGUGUGUGUGCUUGUCUUGAACAUCAUUUUAUGGCCCUGAGUGAAUCUAUGCAAAUACAAUCCAUGACGUAAAGUAAUGUGAUCCUCCACUACAAACAAUAUGGCGGCGCCCAGUGGCGCUAAACUUCUAUCAAGAGCAGGAUUGGGGGGUUUCCUCCAGAGGGUGUGUGGUCUGUGGGGGUGUGGCUCACCCUGGGGUGUCCAAUCCCAGCAGCACCGGCAGUUCUUCUGGAGGAAGUGGAAGAGCUCUCACAGUGUAGUCAGACCGGCUGUCGUCAGACCAGCCUACCCAGUCCCCAAGCACAUCCUGAGGCCUGACUAUGUGAACAGUGGUCAGGUCCCAGACUGGCCAGACUACAUAGAGAUCAAAGACCAGGAGCAGAUCCAGGGCCUGACCAGAGCCUGCCAGCUAGCCAGACAAAUACUUCUGCUGGCAGGACGCAGUCUCAAGAUUGGCAUGAUGACAGAUGAGAUAGAUUUCAUCGUCCACCAGGAGACGAUUCGUCACAACGCGUACCCCUCCCCCCUGAGAUAUGGGGGGUUCCCCAAAUCAGUCUGCACCUCUGUCAAUAAUGUGGUCUGCCAUGGCAUACCUGACACCCGGCAACUGCAAGAUGGAGACAUUAUCAACGUUGAUGUGACUGUCUAUCUGGAGGGUUACCAUGGUGACACUUCAGAGACGUUCCUGAUUGGCUGUGUGGACGAGAUGGGGCGAAAGCUAGUGAAGACAGCCAGGAAGUGUAGAGAUGAGGCCAUUGCUGCCUGUAAACCUGGGGCUCCACUGUGUGUUAUAGGUAACACUAUCAGUGAAAUAGCCCAUUCCAAUGGUUUCCAUGUGUGUCCCUACUUCAUUGGGCAUGGCAUAGGCUCCUACUUCCAUUGCCAUCCUGAGAUCUGGCACCAUGCUAAUGCCAAUGAUAUGACCAUGGAUGAAGGGAUGACUUUCACUAUAGAGCCCAUAUUGAUGGAAGGAUCGUCAGAGUUCAGAAUCCUGAAGGACAAAUGGACAGCAGUGUCUGCAGACGACAAGAGGUCAGCCCAGUUUGAACACACAGUAGUCAUCACCUCUGACGGUGUGGAUAUUCUCACCAAACUACCCAAGGAGGAUGAGCCAUCGCCAAUAGGAGUCUAAUCCCUGUUUUCAGAUCAGCUGUUCACACCCCAGUCACAUCAACAUCUAUGAAGAGCCUAGAUAUGUUGGAGUGGUGUCAUCUCGUAUUCAAGACAUGGAAUGACUGAAGCUUCAGGUGUCUGCUCCUCUGGAUGCGACGGUCUGGUGUGACGUGAACCAGGAGACUGAUGGGUGGGCAAGAAGCCAAAGAAAAAUCCCCUUGACUGUGACUUCGUGUGACGCCUUGUACACCUUAUUACCAUUUCAUGUUAUCAUGAUUCAAUACCCUUAUUAUACAAUCUAUUAUUAUGACAAAGGUUUUAUAUCUUUUGUCGUUUUUUUUGUUAUAACUUUUUCACUUGCAAAGAAUGUUGUAAGCUUUUGGAUAUUUGUUUCGCCCUCAGUGCGCUCUCUGCUCGCACUCACCUUCGGAUCAGCGAGAGGUGAUGGCGCCAUCUGGGGGUCUUUGUGUGAUGUUGCUACAACCCGGCAGACACAUACCAAUAGUCUACUCCACCUUACACACUUCAUAAUUACCGACGGCGCCAGUGCUCACCCACACAGGCGAGCAAAACAACCAUUAAGGCUGACUGAGAUGACUGAGGGUAUAUUUACACUGUCUAUGUGUGCCCACCACGCAUUAAGGCUUACCUCCGACUCCACUGUAAAUAUAAAUCAUGAUCUUCAGACCACAGCAGCAGCUGCAAGUGGGGUAUAGGCUAGGCUGUGUCUCAAUAGUCUGAAGUUGCUUCCUCUCCUUCAUCUGCCUUUAUCUGAAAACACAGGUUAGUUGAAAGCGCACCAUGAAUAUAUCAUCACCUGUCCAUAUCAACACUAUCAAUAUGGACCCCUCCAUUUCCUUUACUUCACAUUAGUGUUGAGUCAUGGGGGGGCAUUUUACUGUACUUGAUAACAUUUUUUACAUUUUACAUUUUAGUCAUUUAGCAGACGCUCUUAUCCAGAGCGACUUACAGUGGUGAAUGCAUACAUUUCAUACAAUUUCAUACAUUUUUUUUUUUUUUUUUUUCUGUGCAAGGCCACUAGAUGGCCUUGCACUGCUAUGUAUGUACAUCCUGUAGCCUUAGUAAUAACAGUAUCCCUGUAUGCAUAUAAGCCAAGGCCCUUUACCAACAUGUCAGGAGCUUUAUGGCAUUUGUGGUAGUGCACUAGCUAUAUUUCCGCAGGGUCGCUGGUUCAAACCCAGCUCUGGCUGUCGCUACAGUGUGUUGUUUAGGAGGUAGAUGAACACAAACAUAACAUUUGCUGCUAUUACAUUGUCAAAGUAAUGUAAGCCACACUGAUGCCUCAAUGGGAAUAUUUAAUUAUGAAACGUUAGAUACUUUAGUUGUAUUGUUGUUUGGUCGUAGUGUUCUUAGUUUUUACAUUUGAGUUGCUGUUCUUGUCUAUUGGUGUUCAGUAUUAUUUCAUGUUUUGUGUAGACCCAGGAAGAGUAGCUGCUGCUUCUUCAACAGCUAAUGGGAUCUGAAUAAAAUCAU